UUCGCGGAGGGCCUCCUUAAAGCUCCUUUUUCAAUAGAAGACGUUGAAGGGAGGUCCUUCUUUGGGCGGCUGUCAAAUGCCUUCCUCAGAAGGAUCCGUUGGAUUCCAAGAAGGUCAACACCAUAGUAGACUACACAACGCAACAUUUCAGCCUACUUCCAGGGCAGCUGGAGAACUCGUCCUCCUUACUAGCCCGGGGAUAUUAAAUGGAUGUGUUCAAGCACAAA
RNAcentral lists this long non-coding RNA (227 nucleotides) under Dermacentor andersoni. RNAcentral's name for it is "uncharacterized LOC126529478". The record is from RNAcentral. Lineage: Eukaryota; Metazoa; Arthropoda; Arachnida; Ixodida; Ixodidae.